UAGAGAGUUGAUUCGGGCUCCGGCCCGAUCCUCCCACCCUUUGUGUACCUACCUCUGUUGCUUUGGCGGGCCGCGGUCCUCCGCGGCCGCCCCCCUCCCCGGGGGGUGGCCAGCGCCCGCCAGAGGACCAUCAAACUCCAGUCAGUAAACGAUGCAGUCUGAAAAACAUUUAAUAAACUAAAACUUUCAACAACGGAUCUCUUGGUUCUGGCAUCGAUGAAGAACGCAGCGAAAUGCGAUAAGUAAUGUGAAUUGCAGAAUUCAGUGAAUCAUCGAAUCUUUGAACGCACAUUGCGCCCUUUGGUAUUCCGAAGGGCAUGCCUGUUCGAGCGUCAUUACAACCCUCAAGCUCUGCUUGGUAUUGGGCACCGUCCUUUGCGGGCGCGCCUCAAAGACCUCGGCGGUGGCGUCUUGCCUCAAGCGUAGUAGAACAUACAUCUCGCUUCGGAGCGCAGGGCGUCGCCCGCCGGACGAACCUUCUGAACUUUUCUCAAGGUUGACCUCGGAUCAGGUAGGGAUACCCGCUGAACUUAAGCAUAUCAA
Molecule: ribosomal RNA, 543 nt
Filed under: Botryosphaeria dothidea
Lineage: Eukaryota; Fungi; Ascomycota; Dothideomycetes; Botryosphaeriales; Botryosphaeriaceae
Description: eukaryotic LSU rRNA
Rfam family: 5.8S ribosomal RNA (bases 182-335)
Source: RNAcentral